Non-coding RNA from Pan troglodytes (chimpanzee), 117 nucleotides. It matches the Rfam family "Metazoan signal recognition particle RNA". From Rfam's summary of the family: The signal recognition particle (SRP) is a universally conserved ribonucleoprotein. It is involved in the co-translational targeting of proteins to membranes. The eukaryotic SRP consists of a 300-nucleotide 7S RNA and six proteins: SRPs 72, 68, 54, 19, 14, and 9. The record is from Rfam. Lineage: Eukaryota; Metazoa; Chordata; Mammalia; Primates; Hominidae.
GCUGGGCGCGGUGGCUUGCGCCUGUAAUCCCAGCAAUUUGGGAGGCUGAGGCGGGCGUAUCACCUGAGGUCAGGAGUUCGAGACCAGCCUGGCCAACAUGGUGAAACCCCGUCUCUA